Molecule: transfer RNA, 67 nt
Filed under: Anacamptodon splachnoides
Lineage: Eukaryota; Viridiplantae; Streptophyta; Bryopsida; Hypnales; Amblystegiaceae
Description: partial tRNA-Leu
Source: RNAcentral
GAGACGCUACGGAGAAGAAAAUCCGUUGGCUUUAUUGACCGUGAGGGUUCAAGUCCCUCUACCCCCA